This is a long non-coding RNA of Anopheles merus, 413 nucleotides long. RefSeq lists it as uncharacterized. The record is from RefSeq and is a predicted model, not a curated record. NCBI's taxonomy places the organism in Eukaryota, Metazoa, Arthropoda, Insecta, Diptera, Culicidae. The transcript is spliced from 3 exons.
ACGAUAAGUGUGCAGGCAGGCGGCGGAAAAAUAAGGCCGAAAAAUUUGUAGUUUUUCAAGUGCUUUAUUUUUCUGGAUAAUUUUUUAUCAUUCUACAAUUCUUGUUGAAUCUUGUUGAAGCCAAAAAGGAUAAGUUCCAAGACCAAGAUGGGCUCAGGACGUAUUCCAGGACUGAAAUUGUUUCAGGGUCUGAUAUAGGACUGACAUGAGUUCAACAACAGUUGUACUACCGGUAUGAGAUCUGAGCCGUUCCAGGAGCGUUAUGGUUUUUGGAUCAGUUCCAGGAUCAAUAUGGGUUCAAGAUCAGUUCUAAGACCUGUCCAUUUUCAUCCAUCUCAAUCAUCCGCGACGAGCUCUUUUAGGCGUCUGGGCAUCGGAACACCGUACAGCUCGUAAAGCAACGAGUUGCCGAC